Molecule: ribosomal RNA, 520 nt
Filed under: uncultured fungus
Lineage: Eukaryota; Fungi
Description: SSU rRNA
Rfam family: Eukaryotic small subunit ribosomal RNA
Source: RNAcentral
GCUUGUCUCAAAGAUUAAGCCAUGCAUGUCUAAGUAUAAGCAAUUAUACCGCGAAACUGCGAAUGGCUCAUUAUAUAAGUUAUCGUUUAUUUGAUAAUACUUUACUACUUGGAUAACCGUGGUAAUUCUAGAGCUAAUACAUGCUAAAAAUCCCGACUUCGGAAGGGUUGUAUUUAUUAGAUUAAAAACCAAUGCCCCUCGGGGCUCUCUGGUGAAUCAUGAUAACUAGUCGAAUCGACAGGCCUUGUGCCGGCGAUGGCUCAUUCAAAUUUCUUCCCUAUCAACUUUCGAUGUUUGGGUAUUGUCCAAACAUAGUGGCAACGGGUAACGGAGGGUUAGGGCUCGACCCCGGAGAAGGAGCCUGAGAAACGGCUACUACAUCCAAGGAAGGCAGCAGGCGCGCAAAUUACCCAAUCCCGACACGGGGAGGUAGUGACAAUAAAUACUGAUACAGGGCUCUUUUGGGUCUCGUAAUUGGAAUGAGAACAAUUUAAAUCCCUUAACGAGGAACAAUUGGAGG